Molecule: unclassified non-coding RNA, 345 nt
Filed under: soil metagenome
Description: partial contains 5.8S ribosomal RNA, internal transcribed spacer 2, and large subunit ribosomal RNA
Rfam family: 5.8S ribosomal RNA (bases 2-118)
Source: RNAcentral
GUGAAGAACGCAGCGAAAUGCGAUACGUAAUGUGAAUUGCAAAUUCAGUGAAUCAUCGAGUCUUUGAACGCACAUUGCGCCCCCUGGUAUUCCGGGGGGCAUGCCUGUCCGAGCGUCAUUGCUGCCCUCAAGCACGGCUUGUGUGUUGGGCCCCGUCCUCCGAUCCCGGGGGACGGGCCCGAAAGGCAGCGGCGGCACCGCGUCCGGUCCUCGAGCGUAUGGGGCUUUGUCACCCGCUCUGUAGGCCCGGCCGGCGCUUGCCGAUCAACCCAAAUUUUUUAUCCAGGUUGACCUCGGAUCAGGUAGGGAUACCCGCUGAACUUAAGCAUAUCAAUAAGCGGAGGA